CCUACGGGAGGCAGCAGUGGGGAAUAUUGCACAAUGGGGGAAACCCUGAUGCAGCAACGCCGCGUGAGUGAAGAAGUAUUUCGGUAGGUAAAGCUCUAUCAGCAGGGAAGAGAAUGACGGUACCUGACUAAGAAGCCCCGGCUAACUACGGGCCAGCAGCCGCGGUAAUACGUAGGGGGCGAGCGUUAUCCGGAUUUACUGGGUGUAAAGGGAGCGUCGACGGUUCUGCAAGUCUGAAGUGAAAGCCCGGGGCUUAACCGCGGAACGGCUUUUGAAACUGUGGAACUGGAGUGCUGGAGAGGCAAGCGGAAUUCCUACUGUAGCGGUGACCUGCGUAGAUCUUCGGCGGAACCCCAGUGGCGACGGCGGCUUGCUGGACAGUACCUGACGUUGAGGCUCG
This 400-nucleotide ribosomal RNA is filed under the name uncultured bacterium. RNAcentral's name for it is "partial 16S ribosomal RNA". It matches the Rfam family "Bacterial small subunit ribosomal RNA", at positions 338 to 755 of the family's 1533-position model. The record is from RNAcentral.